AAUAUAUGCAGUGUUCUGAGAUUUUUUUAUCAUUCAAUAUUAUAUUCCUAAGAUUUAGUCAAUCCGAUUAUACAUACUUUGUUCUUUCUUUGGCCGCACCAUGCGGAAGUUCCGAGGCCAGGGAUGGAACCCGGGCCAUAGCUGUAACCAGAGCCAGAGCAGUGACACCCGAUCCUUAACCCGCUGAGCCACAAGAGAUCUCUCAAUUCUAGAUACUUUGAAGCUUCAUCUUCACGCAGCUUCUUCAGAUCACAAAAGCACUUCCCCUCUCUGAACGCCUCUAAGAGUCACUUUUUUUUGGUCACUAUUUUUAAAAUGGGUUGAAAUUGUACUUUCACUUUCCCUCUAUCUUAACCAGCAUCAGCUCAAAAUCCUUGGAGAGCAGGGAGACAGCUUAUCAUAGUUGAAAAGCAUUGAAUGGGUGGCCUGGGUUCCAGUCCCGGUGUCACCCUCACAGGCAGUGGGCCUCGUCCCUUCGCCUUCCUGACCCUCCACUUCUUUACUUUAACCUAACUGGAGGGGGUUUUUUGUUUUUUUGCGAGGAACUCCUGAGGUAGUGAAUACAAAGCGCCUCAUAAACUGCAAAUUAAUAUUCACGUCACCGUCACCGUUGGCCCGCAAGUUUCCAGAGGGGCCUCUGCAAACAGGACCAGGCCAGUGGCUCCCUGUCUAUGCUUGGGGAUGGCCUUACCGCCCCUGAGGGCAGGGACCAGGUAACUUUCCUUUCUUUGAGAGCCUCCAGGCAGCGGCAAGUCGAGCUGGAAGGUCGACGGAGGCUGAACUUCUGGGUAAUAUGCCAGGAGGCCAGAGGGCGCUCCCACACUCUGGAAUUGGGCUGGGAGAGGCCGUUAGAUUUACGCAUGCGCAACCCCUCCCCGAGGCCCGGGUGAGACCCAGCCAAAAUUGGUUCGCUCCGCUCGGGUUUUUUCCAUAUAGGGGAAUAAAUCUUCUGUGUACGCAUGCGUUCUGUACAGACUGCGAUUGGAUAAAGGUCCCGUCCGUCCCACCGAAAGAGCCAAUAGAGUGAGCCUCAAGAAUCACUCCCGCCCUACAGUGGGAGGUGCUGGGAGUGGAUUUGGGUCUUUGUCCGCACGCAUAACCGUGUGCACCAACCCGUUGAGAAGUCCGAGUCGGCGCGCGCUUCAAGCUUGGAAGUGUUGGCUCGUCCGCUACGGAACGAUUGCCUUAUUUGCUCUGUCAUACCGGGAGGGUGAAUGAGGGAGUGAAGGGGCCAGCGUAAAGGGCGGCGGGGUCAGCGCUGUCAGCGCUGUUUCUGGCAGCAUCCGCGUGGUAGUUGCCUGCCAGUCGUUUGUUGAACCAGACGCUGCCCGAGGCGCUUUGGCACGAUGGAGAGUCUUCCCGAAUCCUGAACCACUUCAUGGUCCCCACCUGGCACUGGCUGGCAGAGCAGGGAUUGGGCCCCAAGGCGCCGAGGCCCAGCUAAGGGUGGAGACUUGGUCAAGUGAAGGCGGGUCUUUGCAGGCGCGUGAUCUCCCUGGAGGCGGGGCCCACCCCUUCUCCCUUGGGCCGCACGUCUUCACCAGCUUUUAUUGGGCACGUGGCGGCUGAUGCGCCGUAAACGGGAGGUGACUCCUGGCGGCCACGCUGCGAAGGUGGGGGACCUCACUUUACAAGAUACCAAAUAAACUGCCUGAGCGAGGCCAGUGAGCUGUAAACACGUGGAAACGAAUACAAAGCAAAUCAAUCCAACUGGAUGCAAUAAAGCCUGGGCUUAACUAGACUUAAUUGGGAACUGUGUGAAGCACUGUGGGAAGAACCCGAGAUCUACCUUUUCCUUUUGGGCCUAGGGUUUACUGACUAUGAAAUAGAACAGGGAAUACUGAAUAAUUUAAAUUUUCAAUUAGAAACAGUCUGUAUGGGCUCAGUAAGGAGCCACUGUGGAGCCUGGGGUGGGGUCGCCUUAUGUCCCUUUCACAUCCGCUUGCUGUUCCUGAAACAAGUUUCCACAAUCACAAGGCUGGAAAAGUUACUCAGCCCAAGGGACUGAGGAGUGAGUCACAAGAACAUGAGCUACAGGGAACUGCCUGGCCUCCUUGGCUGGAACAAUCAGAUACCACUCUUUGCUUCCCACCUCCUCAGAGCCACCUCUGUGGCUAGGAGCCCACUGGGUGCUAAUUCUUCAGUGGAGUGAUAACUAGAAGAAAUUGGAACCCACUCUCCUCAGCCCCAUCGGAUCUGGUGCUGGAAAGUAGGGGAGAAGCUGCAGAACGUCACCACACCCUUGAGGGAAAAAAUAAUUCUUUGUAGUUUGUAGCACUCCAGUUUAUUAAAGUGCACUUUCACAUGCAUUAUCUCAUUGUAGUCUGGCUGAACACAUACUGUGUGCCAGGCACUGAGCCAGACAAAAUGGGUGAGGCAGUGAAUUUUUAAGAGGCGCUUCAGUCCAGUUGUAGAGAGAAAAUAGAAACUAGUACCUACUAGAAUAAGGUAGGAGCUAUAAAGAAGGGGAGAAUUCCUAAGACAUUUCAUAAGAGAAGGAUACCAUAGCCAGCUGUGUGGGAUGGGGGAAAUUAGGAAAAGUUUAAUGGAGGGAAAGUUGUAGGAGUAAAAGUGUAAAGGAUAGGAAAGUUAUCAGAUAGAACUAGAGAUGUAGGAUGGUUUUUUUUGCCCCCAGACCUCUUCUUACCCAAGUCAUGUCU
Molecule: non-coding RNA, 2660 nt
Organism: Sus scrofa (pig)
Lineage: Eukaryota; Metazoa; Chordata; Mammalia; Artiodactyla; Suidae
Source: RefSeq, a predicted model, not a curated record